This 74-nucleotide transfer RNA is filed under the name Anaerolineae bacterium. Its description in RNAcentral is "tRNA-Lys". It matches the Rfam family "tRNA". From Rfam's summary of the family: Transfer RNA (tRNA) molecules are approximately 80 nucleotides in length. Their secondary structure includes four short double-helical elements and three loops (D, anti-codon, and T loops). Lineage: Bacteria; Bacillati; Chloroflexota; Anaerolineae. The record is from RNAcentral.
GUCCCCAUAGCUUAGUGGCAAAGCAGCGGACUUUUAAUCCGUGGAUCUGGGUUCGAUUCCCAGUGGGGACACCA